Molecule: transfer RNA, 88 nt
Filed under: Lewinellaceae bacterium SD302
Lineage: Bacteria; Pseudomonadati; Bacteroidota; Saprospiria; Saprospirales; Lewinellaceae
Description: tRNA-Ser
Rfam family: tRNA
About the family: Transfer RNA (tRNA) molecules are approximately 80 nucleotides in length. Their secondary structure includes four short double-helical elements and three loops (D, anti-codon, and T loops).
Source: RNAcentral
GGAGAGGUGACAGAGUGGCCGAUCGUGCACGCUUGGAAAGCGUGUGAACCGCAAGGUUCCCAGGGUUCGAAUCCCUGUCUCUCCGCAA